Molecule: ribosomal RNA, 560 nt
Filed under: Sebacina sp. Seb8L
Lineage: Eukaryota; Fungi; Basidiomycota; Agaricomycetes; Sebacinales; Sebacinaceae
Description: eukaryotic LSU rRNA
Rfam family: Eukaryotic large subunit ribosomal RNA
Source: RNAcentral
CGAGUGAAGAGGGAAAAGCUCAAAUUUUGAAUCCGACGUCUUUGGCGUCCGAGUUGUAAUCUAGAGAAGUGUUUUCUGCGUCGGACCGUGCACAAGUUCCCUGGAACGGGGCGUCAUAGAGGGUGAGAAUCCCGUACAUGGCACGGACUCCCGGUGCUCUACGAUACACUCUCAACGAGUCGAGUUGUUUGGGAAUGCAGCUCAAAAUGGGUGGUAAAUUCCAUCUAAAGCUAAAUAUUGGCGAGAGACCGAUAGCGAACAAGUACCGUGAGGGAAAGAUGAAAAGCACUUUGGAAAGAGAGUGAAACAGUACGUGAAAUUGUUGAAAGGGAAGCGUUUGAAGUCAGUCGCGUCUGUCGGGGUUCAGCCUGGCUUCUGCCUGGUGUAUUCCCCUUCCGACGGGUCAGCAUCAGUUUUGGCCGAGAGAAAAAGGCUGGAGGAAUGUGGCCGUCUUCGGGCGGUGUUAUAGCCUCCUGUCGUAUGUCUCGGUCGGGACUGAGGACUGCAGCGCGCCUUAUGGCCGGGGUUCGCUCCCUCGGUACGCGCUUAGGAUGCUGGCA